RNAcentral lists this long non-coding RNA (2731 nucleotides) under Sus scrofa (pig). RNAcentral's name for it is "lncRNA (ENSSSCG00015067660.1)". The record is from RNAcentral. Lineage: Eukaryota; Metazoa; Chordata; Mammalia; Artiodactyla; Suidae.
GUAUGACUGGGUGGGCUAAGGAUCAAAUUCUCACCACAGCAAUGAAAAUACCAGAUCCUUAACCUGCUGAGCCCGGAGGGAACUCAAAGGACCAGUGAUUUUUAAGGUUUGAUCUUAUGGUAAUUUUUUGGCAAGGUUUGUCUUUGUUUGUUUGUUUGUUUGUUUGUGGUUAAAGUUACCUUUUAAAAAAAUAUGGUGUAGAGUGUACGUUAUUUUUAGCUAAAAGAACAUAACUUUUUCUUCUUUUUAAACAGUGCCAAUGGCAGUCAUUCUUGGGUACAAACAUUAUUUCUUUCAAACGCUCUGUUUGGGAUGGUUGAUCCUAACAGCUACCACACGUUGGGCUCAUUUGGGAAAAGACACUGCUCAGAGCCAGUGAGACGUUCAAGCUAAAUGUUAUGAAGAAGGUCACUGGGCCUGGCUGCCUGCACACUGUGCCCUGUGCCUGGAGAACACAUUCCAGGGAGGGAGUCAUGUUCUUAAAAAACCCCUGAGUUCCCGCUGUGGUGCCAUCGGUUAAGGAUCCAGUACGGCCACAGUUAUGGUGCAGGUCACAGAUGCGGCUCAGCUUUGAUCCCCGGCCCCAGAACUUCCAUAUGCUUGGGGUGCGGCUAAAAAAGGGGGAAAAAUCUCCCUGGGUGACUCUAGUGAGCAAGUGAGGGGAAAUAUUGAAAUACAGUGAGGAUUCCCUCAGCACCACUGUUGGGGACCACGGAACAGCUGAACUCUGCAGAAGGCAAAUAUCUAUGGACACAGAGUUCUGAAGUACCAAGUGUCCUCCAAAGACAAGAUAAAGGACUUAUGCAUUAACCAUGUCAUUCCAUAAACAGCUGCACUGUGUCCUAAGGAUACCCCCUUGGAUAUCACUAAGAAGAUAACCUGCUUAUUGCCUAUGCCUGUUCCUGCCCACUAACCUUGUCACCUUCCUUAAUCCCACUACUAACAAGCUCAUCACCUUCCUUAAUAAGAGUCCUGUGGGCUAAAGCCCAGGCGCCUUUGUUCUGUGGACCAGAGUGCCUCCUGGUCCCACACUUUCCAGGUGUAAGAGUCUUGCGUGUUCUGUGACACCCUGCCGUCCCGCUUCCAGGAUUGGAAUGACGCGUCACCAGCUUCCAGGAGCAUCUGAGGCCGUCCUCCCACAGCCUCACGUCUCUACACAGAAGAGCCCCCUUCUCCUCAGAGCUGAGGGCCACACAGGAAGGAGGGCUCUGGCCUCCAGAGAGGAGCCACACAGAGGAAGGGACCAGGCACCCUGCACAGAAGGGGACCUGCCUCCAGGAAGCCAUCACUGCUCUGACUUGAUCUUGAUCUCAGAGGAAUUUGUGCCCCAGAAGCCCCCUCAGUCCUGACCCCUGAGCAGCCAAGGGCACCCUCAAGACUCACCCUGAGGGGUGUGAGGGGAGCACACAGAGGCUCUGAGGAGACAGGGGACACAAAGCGUCAACUGCCUUGUCCCUAAGGCAGGGGACAGUGUUCAGAGCAGGGGGAAAGACCUGUCCCUGAGGGGCUCUGGUCACCAGGUCACAUGCUGUGCCUGGGUCUGGACACCAGGGGGCGCUCUGGGUGCAUUCGUCAGGGUGGAGGGGGUUUCUGGGGAUGAGAGCUGGGACCAGCCACCUAGCACUGCCUCCUGCCCUCUGUUCAGGGCUCCGAGCUGGGGACUCCCCACCGAUCCCCCGCCCCCCGCCCCCGUCGAUGCCUCUGCCCACCUCCAGGCCACCCUGAAGCAGAGGAACGUGAUCUAGAGCCCAGUGAGAGGUCAGAGCUGGGGGUGCCAUUGGCAUGCAGGGCCCCUCCCUCUCUCCGAGUAAGAAGAGGGGAAGGACAGACUGGGGGUCGCUCUGCUUCAGCUGUGGGGCCACAGCAAGCAGCCACGAGGACAGCCUGCAUCGUGGCCUGGUCCCCUCUGCUCCUCACCCUCCUGGCUCACUGCACGGGUGACUGGGGACAGGGACAGGGGAGGGGGCCUGGGAACAGCCCUGGGCCCUGCUUCCUCCUGUGUCUGCACCCCAGAAUCAGCAUCUCUGUCUCUCCUGCUUCCAGGAUCCUGGGCCCAGGCUGUGCUGACUCAGCCGCCCUCUGAGUCUGGGUCCCUGGGCCAGAGGGUCACCCUCUCCUGCACUGGGAGCAGCAGCAACAUCGGGGGUGGUAAUAGUUGUGAACUGGUCCCAGCCGCUCCCAGGAAAGGUCCCCAGAUCCGUAUUCACUUAUGCCAAUCUCAUGGCUAUUGCUGCCCCGGAUCAGAUCUCUGGCUUCAAGUCUGGCAGCUCAGGCACCCUGACCAUCACUGGGCUCCAGGCUGAGGAUGACGCUGAGUAUUACUGCACAGCCGGGGGUGACAGCCUCGAUGGCCCCACAGUGCCCCAGGCCAGGGGGCAAGUGAGACCAAAACCUGCUGUCCCCCAGCCAGGGGGCUCCCUGGGCAGAGCCAUCCUCUGCAUCAUCAGCUGCUGCCUUUGUCUGUUUGCCCACAGGCAGCCUGAGCCCAACAGCUGCCAGAACAUGUCCUCGUCACUAUCUGUCCCCAAACCUCUCCUCUGUGGCAGCACACGGUCUCAUUUCCUCAAGUUGAGCACAAAUCCCUGGAUGCUAGGGACAGGGGUGUGGAAAAGGGAAUAGGGAGCUUGGCAAGAGCGAAGCCAUCUUGCUGCCACUGUCCAUCUUGGUGAACUUAAACUGACCCAUACGAGGGCUCUGAGCAAAACAAAGUCGUUAGCACUUGAGAAACUCC